ACGAAGGGGGCUAGCGUUGCUCGGAAUCACUGGGUUUAAAGGGUGCGUAGGCGGCUGAAUAAGUCAGUGGUGAAAGCUCGCAGCUUAACUGUGAAACUGCCAUUGAAACUGUUUAGCUUGAAUCUGGUUGAAGUGGGCGGAAUACAUCAUGUAGCGGUGAAAUGCUUAGAUAUGAUGUAGAACACCGAUUGCGAAGGCAGCUCACUAAGCCAUCAUUGACGCUGAGGCACGAAAGCGUGGGUAGCGAACAGGA
RNAcentral lists this ribosomal RNA (253 nucleotides) under uncultured prokaryote. RNAcentral describes it as "partial 16S ribosomal RNA". It matches the Rfam family "Bacterial small subunit ribosomal RNA", at positions 525 to 777 of the family's 1533-position model. The record is from RNAcentral.